GGCGCAGGCGGCCUGGUAAGUCGAAUGUGAAAUCUCCCGGCUUAACUGGGAGGGGUCAUUCGAUACUAUCAAGCUAGAGUGCAACAGGGGAAGGUGGAAUUCCCGGUGUAGUGGUGAAAUGCGUAGAUAUCGGGAGGAACACCAGUGGCGAAGGCGGCCUUCUGGGUUGUUACUGACGCUUAAGCCCGAAAGCGUGGGAGCAAACAGGAUCAGAUACCCUGGUAGUCCACGCUGUAAACUAUGGACACUGGGUAUGGGGAGUAUCGGACCCUCUCCGUGCCGAAGUUAACGCGUUAAGUGUCCCGUCUGGGAACUACGGCCGCAAGGCUAAA
Molecule: ribosomal RNA, 332 nt
Filed under: uncultured bacterium
Lineage: Bacteria
Description: bacterial SSU rRNA
Rfam family: Bacterial small subunit ribosomal RNA
Source: RNAcentral